GUUUAAAUAGCUUAUUAGAAGAGCGUAAUAUUGAAGAUAUUAAGGAAACAUUUUGUUUUUAAACAUC
Molecule: transfer RNA, 67 nt
Filed under: Allonychiurus kimi
Lineage: Eukaryota; Metazoa; Arthropoda; Collembola; Poduromorpha; Onychiuridae
Description: tRNA-Phe
Source: RNAcentral